This 497-nucleotide ribosomal RNA is filed under the name uncultured bacterium. RNAcentral's name for it is "partial 16S ribosomal RNA". It matches the Rfam family "Bacterial small subunit ribosomal RNA", at positions 28 to 507 of the family's 1533-position model. The record is from RNAcentral.
GAUGAACGCUGGCGGCGUGCCUAAUACAUGCAAGUCGAGCGAACAGACGAGGAGCUUGCUCCUCUGACGUUAGCGGCGGACGGGUGAGUAACACGUGGAUAACCUACCUAUAAGACUGGGAUAACUUCGGGAAACCGGAGCUAAUACCGGAUAAUAUAUUGAACCGCAUGGUUCAAUAGUGAAAGACGGUUUUGCUGUCACUUAUAGAUGGAUCCGCGCCGCAUUAGCUAGUUGGUAAGGUAACGGCUUACCAAGGCGACGAUGCGUAGCCGACCUGGGAGGGUGAUCGGCCACACUGGAACUGAGACACGGUCCAGACUCCUGCGGGAGGCAGCAGUAGGGAAUCUUCCGCAAUGGGCGAAAGCCUGACGGAGCAACGCCGCGCGAGUGAUGAAGGUCUUCGGAUCGUAAAACUCUGUUACUAGGGAAGAACAAAUGUGUAAGUAACUAUGCACGUCUUGACGGUACCUAAUCAGAAAGCCACGGCUAACUACGUG